This 446-nucleotide ribosomal RNA is filed under the name uncultured bacterium. RNAcentral's name for it is "partial 16S ribosomal RNA". It matches the Rfam family "Bacterial small subunit ribosomal RNA", at positions 338 to 795 of the family's 1533-position model. The record is from RNAcentral.
CCUACGGGUGGCAGCAGUCGAGAAUAAUUCACAAUGGGGGAAACCCUGAUGGUGCGACGCCGCGUGGGGGAAUGAAGUUCUUCGGAUUGUAAACCCCUUCCAUGUGGGAGCAAAUUAAAAAGAUAGUACCCCCAGAGGAAGACACGGCUAACUCUGUGCCAGCAGCCGCGGUAAGACAGAGGUCGCAAGCGUUGUUCGGAAUCACUGGGAGUAAAGCGUGCGUAGGCGGUUUAGUAAGUCGGGUGUGAAAGGCUCGGGCUCAAGCCGCGGACGGCACAUGAUACUGGUAGACUAGAGUAAUGGAGGGGGAACCGGAAUUCCCGGUGUAGCAGUGAAAUGCGUAGAGAUCGGGAGGAACACUGGUGGCGAAGGCGGGUUCCUGGACAGUAACUGACGCUGAGGCACGAAGGCGAGGGGAGCGAAAGGGAUUAGAUACCCCGGUAGUC